GAUGAACGCUGACAGAAUGCUUAACACAUGCAAGUCGAUGGGGAAGUGGUGCUUGCACCAUGGCAACCAUGGCGGACGGGUGAGUAACGCGUAAGGGACUUACCUGCAGGACUGGGAUAACAGGGGGAAACUCCUGACAAGACCGGAUAAUGUCAUGGAGCUGCAUGGCUUUAUGAUGAAAGGAGACGCCUGCGGAGAGCCUUGCGUCCUAUUAGCUAGUUGGUGAGGUAAUGGCUCACCAAGGCGAAGAUAGGUAGCCGGCCUGAGAGGGUGGACGGCCACAAGGGGACUGAGAUACGGCCCUUACUCCUACGGGAGGCAGCAGUGGGGAAUACUGGACAAUGGGGGCAAUCCUGAUCCAGCAAUUCUGUGUGCACGAAGAAGGUUUUCGGAGUGUAAAGUGCUUUCAGCAGGGAAGAAGUAAGUGACGGUACCUGCAGAAGAAGCGACGGCUAAAUACGUG
This 463-nucleotide ribosomal RNA is filed under the name uncultured bacterium. Its description in RNAcentral is "partial 16S ribosomal RNA". It matches the Rfam family "Bacterial small subunit ribosomal RNA", at positions 28 to 507 of the family's 1533-position model. The record is from RNAcentral.